CCUUGGGUUCGGAAUAACAGUUAGAAAUGACUGCUAAUACCGAAUGAUGUCUUCGGACCAAAGAUUUAUCGCCCAAGGAUGAGCCCGCGUCGGAUUAGCUAGUUGGUGAGGUAAAGGCUCACCAAGGCGACGAUCCGUAGCUGGUCUGAGAGGAUGAUCAGCCACACUGGGACUGAGACACGGCCCAGACUCCUACGGGAGGCAGCAGUGGGGAAUAUUGGACAAUGGGCGAAAGCCUGAUCCAGCAAUGCCGCGUGAGUGAUGAAGGCCUUAGGGUUGUAAAGCUCUUUUACCCGGGAUGAUAAUGACAGUACCGGGAGAAUAAGCCCCGGCUAACUCCGUG
RNAcentral lists this ribosomal RNA (343 nucleotides) under uncultured bacterium. RNAcentral describes it as "bacterial SSU rRNA". It matches the Rfam family "Bacterial small subunit ribosomal RNA", at positions 130 to 507 of the family's 1533-position model. The record is from RNAcentral.